This 456-nucleotide ribosomal RNA is filed under the name uncultured fungus. RNAcentral's name for it is "eukaryotic LSU rRNA". The stretch from base 53 to 206 matches the Rfam family "5.8S ribosomal RNA". Lineage: Eukaryota; Fungi. The record is from RNAcentral.
UACCCCAGUGCAUGUCUCAGUAUGUUACCUUGCGUUAACCCGCAAUAAAUACAACUUUCAGCAACGGAUUUCUUGGCUCUCGCAUCGAUGAAGAACGCAGCGAAAUGCGAUAAGUAAUGUGAAUUGCAGAAUUCAGUGAAUCAUCGAAUCUUUGAACGCAACUUGCGCCCCUUGGCAUUCCGAGGGGCACACCUGUUUGAGUGUCGUGAAUUCCUCCACCUUAGACUUUUGUCAAAAGGCUGGGACUUGGGGGUCUGCGGGUGUCUCUUGGCCCCGCUCUCCUUGAAUAGAUCAGUGAAGACCCUUGCGGCCCUCGGUGUGAUAGAUAUCUACGCCACGGGAAGCGAGAAUUCAGGCCUUUGCUUCUAACCGUCCGACCGGGACAACAAACUUUGAACUUGACCUCAGAUCAGGUGGGACUACCCGCUGAACUUAAGCAUAUCAAUAAGCGGAGGA